GUGGGGAAUAUUGGACAAUGGGCGAAAGCCUGAUCCAGCAAUGCCGCGUGAGUGAUGAAGGCCCUAGGGUUGUAAAGCUCUUUUACCCGGGAUGAUAAUGACAGUACCGGGAGAAUAAGCUGCGGCUAACUUCGUGCCAGCAGCCGCGGUAAUACGAGGGGAGCUAGCGUUGUUCGGAAUUACUGGGCGUAAAGCGCGCGUAGGCGGUUUUUUAAGUCAGAGGUGAAAGCCCGGGGCUCAACCCCGGAAUAGCCUUUGAAACUGGAAAACUAGAAUCUUGGAGAGGUCAGUGGAAUUCCGAGUGUAGAGGUGAAAUUCGUAGAUAUUCGGAAGAACACCAGUGGCGAAGGCGACUGACUGGACAAGUAUUGACGCUGAGGUGCGAAAGCGUGGGGAGCAAACAGGAUUAGAUACCCGGGUAGUCC
This 425-nucleotide ribosomal RNA is filed under the name uncultured bacterium. RNAcentral's name for it is "bacterial SSU rRNA". It matches the Rfam family "Bacterial small subunit ribosomal RNA", at positions 354 to 796 of the family's 1533-position model. The record is from RNAcentral.